This 253-nucleotide ribosomal RNA is filed under the name uncultured bacterium. RNAcentral describes it as "partial 16S ribosomal RNA". It matches the Rfam family "Bacterial small subunit ribosomal RNA", at positions 524 to 776 of the family's 1533-position model. The record is from RNAcentral.
UACAGAGGGUGCAAGCGUUAAUCGGAGUUACUGGGCGUAAAGGGCGCGUAGGCGGUCAAGUGAGUGUGAUGUGAAAGCCCUGAGCUUAACCUAGGAAGUGCAUCGCAAACGAUUUGACUGGAGUAUAAGAGAGGGUGGCGGAAUUUCCGGUGUAGCGGUGAAAUGCGUAGAGAUCGGAAGGAACGUCAAUGGCGAAGGCAGCCACCUGGCUUAAUACUGACGCUGAGGCGCGAAAGCGUGGGGAGCGAACAGG